GAAAACAUGUUGAAGAGUAGAGUACAGAAUUUAAUUUUCUUAGAGAGCUUUCGGUUGGUGCAAGAAAGUGAAAAUUAGUUUUGGAAGAUGGACUCGGAGUGGCAACGGUGAAUUUUUAGCUGUUGACGUGGUUGCGGACGUUAUGAUCGCAGAAUUAUUCCUGAUUUAUAUGAAUUUGGAGUAGUUCACCGAGGCAGUUUUGCAGCUGCAAAUUAAGGUGGUACCACGGUUAGACCCGUCCUUUUA
RNAcentral lists this non-coding RNA (246 nucleotides) under Liquorilactobacillus ghanensis. RNAcentral describes it as "Lactobacillus ghanensis T-box sequence". It matches the Rfam family "T-box leader". From Rfam's summary of the family: Uncharged tRNA acts as the effector for transcription antitermination of genes in the T-box leader family. T-boxes are found upstream of many aminoacyl-tRNA synthetase genes and some amino acid biosynthetic genes usually in Gram-positive bacteria. The anticodon of a specific tRNA base pairs to a specifier sequence within the T-box motif, and the NCCA acceptor tail of the tRNA base pairs to a conserved bulge in the T-box antiterminator hairpin. Lineage: Bacteria; Bacillati; Bacillota; Bacilli; Lactobacillales; Lactobacillaceae. The record is from RNAcentral.